GAAAAAAAAAAAAAAAAAAAAGAACAAAAGAAUCGAAAAACCUCUCCCAGUCAUUAUCGUCGCCUCCAAACAAUGUCGUCCCGAUUCCCGUAGACAAGGGGCCCCAGGGUUAAAGGGCCCAGAAAGAGGGAAAACUCGCCGGCUGGAUUUGCCUCAUUAACAGGGACGCGAGUUCUGAAUCGCGUAGUCGAGGCCUGCAUCAAAGCAUCGCAUUCAGUUUACCCAAAACAAUUACCGGCAAACCGAACGCCUUUUCUCCGCGCAAGCAGAUCAAAGGCGCGCCCGUGGUCGUCAUUAAGCAACGAGACGUCAUUAAGCUUUUCGGAUAGCGGCACUUUAAAUCAUCGGGGGCACGCGUAUACCCGACGCGCUUACGUUGUUCAACGGAAUCGUUCAAGGCACUCGCCCACUCGACAGGGCAGCUACCGCCCUCUCGACGAGCCUCUAAUCCAUUGUAACUAAAGAUCAAAAAAAAAAAAAAAAAAAAAAGAAAAGAAAAAGAAAAGAGAGAACGAGAGGAAACUGUCGAUUUUACCCAAUGCAAAUACUCGCCCCUCAACCGACCGGCAGCAGCAAUUCCUUGUGACUCGCGACCGACCUCGCAGAGUCAAGUAGUGGGGGGAAUGGGAAGAAAAAGAAACGAACACUUGAGGGGUUACGCGAGUGCGCCUCGCAACGCUUGGAAGUUCGAGGAGCUUUUGGUCGAGGCAGAAGAAUAGGAAAGAGCUAACGCGGACGGAGGAGGACGGCACGUGUUGAAUUUCUCUCUCUCUCUCUCUCUUUCCUUCUUUCUUCCUCCUUCCCCCUCCUUUCUCUCGCCCAAUGUGUCUCACUACCGCCCUCUGCACAGCGCGCCCCGUCAACGGCGACGAUUCGAGUCCUCUCGUUUCUCGCUCUCUUUUGCGGACAGAGUCGCGCGUAUUUGUUUUCCGCGCCCUAACAACCGGGCCGGGGACGGUAGCCGGCUCUCUUCAAGCCGAGUACACAAGGAGAAACGCCGUGAACCUCGGCGGACGCGUGUAUGGACUCGGCCUGGCCGAGUAUCACCGUGUUGUGUGUGCGUCGAGUUAGAGGAUGUUUCAGAAGCGGAGGAGGGUCGAAGAAGAACGAGAGAGAGAGAGAGAAAUAUUUUUCUUGAACAGUCAGAGAAGCAAUAAAACGCUGAGGGAUAGGAGAAUCACUAUCCAGCCCCUUCCGGUUCCAUGGAUGCGAGUGUUUAGUGCGAACGCACCCUUACGCUAGAAGCAGACAGGGGAAGGAAGCUAGGAAAAUCGACGGAGGGUGAUUCGAAAAGGGACGAAAAAAUUGAAGUUGGAAAAUGAAGAAGUGAACGGAACGUUAUAUAGAAACUGUGAAAAAGAUAAGAAAAAUAAAAAAAAAAACGAAAAGAUAAAAGGAAACUUAAUAAAAAUUAUAAAAUAAAAAAGAGGAAUAAAAAUAUGGAAAAUUUAAGAAAAAAAAUCUUCAACGAUAAUGAAAUUGAAAAUUGAAAGUGUGAAUAAAAACAUUGCCAGAAAAUCUAGAUAUUAUAUUAUUUGUGCAUAAUAUAAUAUGUAUAAUAAGUUGAAAAAUAAAAAUAAAUGGAAAAACGAAAAGAUGUGGAAGAAUUUAACAAUCAUAAAAUGAGAAAGGAAGAAUAAAAAAUAAAUACGCGAAAAAUUUCGAAGAGAGUUUUGAAAAACGAUAAAAAAGAGUAGAAAGAAAUGAAAGGAACAGAAGCAAAAGAGAGCAAAUAAGAAUUACAACGAUGGAAGUCAAUGGACGAAAUAAUGAGAGAACAAUAACGUAGGAAUGUCCGUAUGUGAGACAGUGUUCAGUGGAGAGUGACCGAAAACAAGAGAAAGAGCGCGUACGUGACGUAGAAGAGGGAAUAAGGAAGAGAAGCCAGACGACAAAGAGAGAAAUAGUAGACAGGGUGGCCAAAAUGCAGCGAGGGUGAAGACACGCGAGGGCUGUUAGACCGUCAAUCGAUAAAUUCCUCCGGCAAGGAAGAGGGGUCACGAUACGUGCUGAUGUCGCGAAAAGGUUCUUCCUUGCAAACACUUGAAGUGAACUUCACACUUCAGAAAGGUGAGAGAAAAAGAUGGAAGGGGGUGGUCUCUCUUCUAGUUGCACUUUAUGCAGUUUCGCGCCCUCUCGAAAAGGGCAGAUCUCUAUAUUCUCUUUCUCUGUCUUGUUAAAAGGGAAGAUCGUCCAUCGAUCCGUAAUACGAAUGAACACAGUGAACGUUCUCGUAGUGACAGAAUGCCUUGCCUGUUGGCUAAUUAUCCCCUCGUUGGUCGUUUAACGCAUCGAUUCCUUCUUCCGGAAGAGCGGAGAACGAACAAAACAUUAUAGUAAUAUCGGUCGAGUGUAAUAGAAUCGUUAGAGAGAAUUUCACCCUAUCUACUCUCGAAUUCGAUAUCGUUUUCGAUGAUAAAAGAACAAAACUAAUGCGAGUAGAGAAGAAAAAAGUGUACGAUGAAGUUAAUUUACGAUCGAAUUUGAAUUAUCUAAUUCUGUAUCUUGAAAUUAUAAAAUAUGAUAUAAUGCAAG
This 2535-nucleotide long non-coding RNA is filed under the name Apis florea (little honeybee). Its description in RNAcentral is "uncharacterized LOC105735544". The record is from RNAcentral. Lineage: Eukaryota; Metazoa; Arthropoda; Insecta; Hymenoptera; Apidae.